AGGGUUUCAAUGUGGUACCCUAAUGACUGUUUGAUUGGAGCUUUAAUGGAGGUUUCGGGGGUUGCAGAAGCAAUUAUACUCUUAGGGUUUUCUUAUCUCUUUUUUAGGUUCUUAAAUCAUAUAAUUUCUCAUGUAUUAAUAGAUCAAAUUAGGUCUUAGUGAUUUAAUCAGAUUGAUUUGUUUUAGAAAAAUUUGUAUUAGAUUGAUUGUAAUUUGAUUUAGUUUUUUUUUAGAAUUUGGAUCUGAUUGUACUUGGUCCUAAUAGUAUCGUGUAAUGCAUUUGUGAAUUGAAUUUGGAAAUAUUUGAUGGCAUUUUCA
RNAcentral lists this long non-coding RNA (318 nucleotides) under Lathyrus oleraceus (garden pea). RNAcentral's name for it is "Pisum sativum (pea) long non-coding RNA (PSAT_LNC020527)". The record is from RNAcentral. Lineage: Eukaryota; Viridiplantae; Streptophyta; Magnoliopsida; Fabales; Fabaceae.